AAGCUCGUAGUUGAAUUUCGGGGUUAGUAGGUUGGUCAUGCCUCUGGUAUGUACUGGUCUCACUGAUUCCUCCUUCCUGAUGAACCUUAAUGCCAUUAAUUUGGUGUUUUGGGGAAUUUGGACUGUUACUUUGAAAAAAUUAGAGUGUUUAAAGCAAGCUAACGCUUGAAUACAUUAGCAUGGAAUAAUGAAAUAGGACGUUCGAUCCUAUUUUGUUGGUUUCUAGGAUUGACGUAAUGAUUAAUAGGGAUAGUUGGGGGCAUUAGUAUUCAAUUGUCAGAGGUGAAAUUCUUGGAUUUAUUGAAGACUAACUACUGCGAAAGCAUUUGCCAAGGAUGUUUUCAUUAAUCAAGAACGAAAGUUAGGGGAUCGAAGACGAUCAGAUACCGUCGUAGUCUUAACCAUAAACUAUGCCGACUAGGGAUCGGAUGAUGUUAAUUUUUUAAUGACUCAUUCGGCACCU
This 463-nucleotide ribosomal RNA is filed under the name uncultured Glomus. RNAcentral describes it as "SSU rRNA". It matches the Rfam family "Eukaryotic small subunit ribosomal RNA", at positions 624 to 1088 of the family's 1831-position model. The record is from RNAcentral. Lineage: Eukaryota; Fungi; Glomeromycota; Glomeromycetes; Glomerales; Glomeraceae.